This 76-nucleotide transfer RNA is filed under the name Actinomycetes bacterium. RNAcentral describes it as "tRNA-Phe". It matches the Rfam family "tRNA". Rfam says of the family: Transfer RNA (tRNA) molecules are approximately 80 nucleotides in length. Their secondary structure includes four short double-helical elements and three loops (D, anti-codon, and T loops). Lineage: Bacteria; Bacillati; Actinomycetota; Actinomycetes. The record is from RNAcentral.
GGCUGGGUAGCUCAGGUGGUAGAGCAGAGGACUGAAAAUCCUCGUGUCCGCGGUUCAAGUCCGUGCCCAGCCACCA